CACCCGUAUCCUUCAGAAGAACAGAAGAAGCAGCUCGCUCAAGACACGGGCCUCACCAUCUUACAAGUAAACAACUGGUUCAUUAAUGCCAGAAGAAGAAUAGUGCAGCCCAUGAUUGACCAGUCAAAUCGAGCAGGUUUUCUUCUUGAUCCUUCAGUGAGCCAGGGAGCGGCGUACAGUCCGGAGGGGCAGCCCAUGGGCAGCUUCGUGCUGGACGGACAGCAACACAUGGGCAUCCGGCCGGCAGGUCCUAUGAGUGGCAUGGGCAUGAAUAUGGGCAUGGAUGGCCAGUGGCACUACAUGUAACGGCUGUACAGUAAAGAAAAGGGGGAAGUGAAUCGAGGCGUGCCGGGGGAGUUCGUACCUCAGCGUGGUCCUGUGGGCAUCACCUCCUCCACCAAAAGCCCCUCGUCUCUUGUGUUUGUCACACCGAUCUCCUCGUCACCCUGCGACCCGUGUGGCCAUGCUAACGCACAGACCCCCUCCUCGACCACGACUCCUCUGACCCCCUGACCACAGCGCUGCUGGACCGGCCGAUGAUCGAAGGAACCAACCAAUACUGGACAAUAACCCCACGAAAGAUUUGUGAAGGAAAAGAGAAUGCGCUGACGCAUCCGACAGCAGAAUUAGAAGCCUCUCGUGGAAUUCCAGACGAGCUGUGAUCGUUUUUUAUCUUGUGAAAUUUUGUUACUUUUGUUGCUGGAGGACCAAGAGCUGACAAAAAACACUUUGUAAAAUUGUGGGUGUCUGUUCAAAUCAACAGAGGAUGUUUCAGCUUAUUAAACACACGCGCACACACACACACACACAUGAUAAUGAAAAAAAAAAAAGACAAGAGACUCCAAGAGUUCAAACUACUGUAGUAUAAAAGCAUAGAAACUAAAUUAAAUCUUGUACAUUUCUAUCAUCACUCACUUUAUGUUUCAUGAGCUAGUCUUAGAGUAAAUCGUUGGCCUGUUUUUCACACUGUGUGUGCGGAUCCCCGAGGCAGAGGAGCUCGAGCGCGGCAGUAACGGGAGAAACGGACCACGGUUCCGGUAUAACGAUGAUUCCUCGUGCAUCAGAGUUUCCGCCGACUGAAGCCCGCUCUCUUCACCAAACUCCUCCUCCUCCUCUUCUUUUCCUCAUGCAUUUUCCUUUUUCGGUCCAUGAAUGAAUGUUGCCCUGUAGUUCUUCGUUUGAAUUGCCCAAGCACUGGAUUGUGUUGCUUUUAUACGUUUUUAUUUUAAUAUUAUUAUUAAUAUUAUUAUGAUUAAUUUUGUAUCUCGGACUCUCAGAGUAAGAGCCUUAUGAAGGACGUGUAUCCAUCCUGCAGCAGUGGGAUCAAUGUAUUACCUGCCACGAGGACGAUGCUCUGGAUGCUCUGGAUUCUGUGGCACACACAGCAGAGACGCGUGAACAACUUUAAAAGGAUGAAAAAAAAAAACAAGAACUUAAAUUAUGAACUCAAAGCUCGGUGAGAAGCUGAGACAACAUUGUAAGAAACUUCGUACAGAGUUCAGUCUAUGAAUUGUUUCAUGUUAGAUAUUCUAUGUGUUUACCUCAACUGAAGACGAAUGUUUUUGCUAGUUUGAGAUCUGCUGUGGCAUUGAUAUUGUUCUGUCCUUCCUUUCUCAGCACGUGCUCCACUAGAAGAUGAAAUACUCUCCCUCGAGCUUUGUCAGAAAUACAUUCAAUACUUGUAUGAGGACUGUGGCGUGAUGUGUCGAAGGUGUUCAGUCACAAAUGCUGUAAUAAAUAUUUCAUUUUUGA
Long non-coding RNA from Sinocyclocheilus grahami, 1752 nucleotides. RefSeq lists it as uncharacterized. The transcript has 5 exons. The record is from RefSeq and is a predicted model, not a curated record. Lineage: Eukaryota; Metazoa; Chordata; Actinopteri; Cypriniformes; Cyprinidae.